RNAcentral lists this ribosomal RNA (787 nucleotides) under uncultured Actinomycetes bacterium. Its description in RNAcentral is "bacterial SSU rRNA". It matches the Rfam family "Bacterial small subunit ribosomal RNA", at positions 69 to 835 of the family's 1533-position model. The record is from RNAcentral. Lineage: Bacteria; Bacillati; Actinomycetota; Actinomycetes.
GAAAGCUCCCUUCGGGGAGCAAGUAGAGUGGCGCACGGGUGAGUAACACGUAGGUAAUCUACCUUUGGAUGGGGAAUAACAACCGGAAACGGUUGCUAAUACCGCAUAAUGCAGCGGCACCUAAUGGUGACAGUUGUUAAAGCGGGGGAUCGCAAGACCUCGCGUCUGAAGAGGAGCCUGCGGCGGAUUAGCUAGUUGGUAAGGUAACGGCUUACCAAGGCGAUGAUCCGUAGCCGGCCUGAGAGGGCGGUCGGCCACACUGACACUGACAUACGGGUCAGACUCCUACGGGAGGCAGCAGUCGGGAAUUUUGGGCAAUGGGCGAAAGCCUGACCCAGCAACGCCGCGUGGAGGAUGAAAUCCCUCGGGAUGUAAACUUCGCAAGAACGGGAAGAAUAAGUAAGGGUUAAUAUCUCUUACGAUGACGGUACUGUUUGUAAGCUCCGGCUAACUCCGUGCCAGCAGCCGCGGUAAUACGGGGGGAGCAAGCGUUGUUCGGAUUUACUGGGCGUAAAGGGCGCGUAGGCGGCCACCGCAAGUCGACUGUGAAAUCUCCGGGCUUAACCCGGAACGGUCAGCCGAUACUGCGGGGCUAGAGUGCAGAAGGGGCAACUGGAAUUCUCGGUGUAGCGGUGAAAUGCGUAGAUAUCGAGAGGAACACCUGCGGCGAAGGCGGGUUGCUGGGCUGACACUGACGCUGAGGCGCGAAAGCUAGGGGAGCGAACGGGAUUAGAUACCCCGGUAGUCCUAGCCUUAAACGAUGAAUGCUUGGUGUCUGGGGUUAUAU